GACGAACGCUGGCGGCGUGCUUAACACAUGCAAGUCGAACGGAAAGGCCCUGCUUUUGUGGGGUGCUCGAGUGGCGAACGGGUGUGGAUAACGUGAGUAACCUGCGCUUGUCUUUGGGAGAACUUCAGGAAACUGGGACGAAUAUAGGAUAUGAGCUCCUGCUGCAUGGGGGUGGUGGGUAAAUUUCGCCGGUUGGGGAUGGACUCGCGGCUCAUCAGCGUGUUGGUGGGGUAGUGGCUUACAAGGGCUUUGACGGGUAGCCGGCCUGGGAGGGUGACCGGCCCCAUUGGGACUCAGAUGCGGCCCAGACUCCUUCGGGGGGCAGCAGUGGGAAAUUUUGCACACUGGGCGGAGGCCUGAUGCAGCAUCGCCGCGUGCGGGAUGACGGCCUUCGGGUUGUAACCCGCUUUCGCCUGUGACGAAGAGUGAGUGACGGUAAUGGGUAAAGAAGCACCGGCUAACUACGUG
RNAcentral lists this ribosomal RNA (468 nucleotides) under uncultured bacterium. Its description in RNAcentral is "partial 16S ribosomal RNA". It matches the Rfam family "Bacterial small subunit ribosomal RNA", at positions 28 to 507 of the family's 1533-position model. The record is from RNAcentral.